GAUGAACGCUGGCGGCGUGCCUAAUACAUGCAAGUCGAGCGAACGAACGAGAAGCUUGCUUCUCUGACGUUAGCGGCGGACGGGUGAGUAACACGUGGAUAACCUACCUAUAAGACUGGGAUAACUUCGGGAAACCGGAGCUAAUACCGGAUAAUAUUUUGAACCGCAUGGUUCAAAAGUGAAAGACGGUCUUGCUGUCACUUAUAGAUGGAUCCGCGCUGCAUUAGCUAGUUGGUAAGGUAACGGCUUACCAAGGCAACGAUGCAUAGCCGACCUGAGAGGGUGAUCGGCCACACUGGAACUGAGACACGGUCCAGACUCCUACGGGAGGCAGCAGUAGGGAAUCUUCCGCAAUGGGCGAAAGCCUGACGGAGCAACGCCGCGUGAGUGAUGAAGGUCUUCGGAUCGUAAAACUCUGUUAUUAGGGAAGAACAUAUGUGUAAGUAACUGUGCACAUCUUGACGGUACCUAAUCAGAAAGCCACGGCUAACUACGUG
RNAcentral lists this ribosomal RNA (497 nucleotides) under uncultured bacterium. Its description in RNAcentral is "partial 16S ribosomal RNA". It matches the Rfam family "Bacterial small subunit ribosomal RNA", at positions 28 to 507 of the family's 1533-position model. The record is from RNAcentral.